GACGUAGGGCGCGAGCGUUGUCCGGAUUUAUUGGGCGUAAAGAGCUCGUAGGCGGUUUGUUGCGUCGGCUGUGAAAACCUGAGGCUCAACCUCAGGCCUGCAGUCGAUACGAGCAGACUAGAGUGUUGCAGGGGAGACUGGAAUUCCUGGUGUAGCGGUGAAAUGCGCAGAUAUCAGGAGGAACACCGGUGGCGAAGGCGGGUCUCUGGGCAGUAACUGACGCUGAGGAGCGAAAGCGUGGGGAGCGAACAGG
This 253-nucleotide ribosomal RNA is filed under the name uncultured bacterium. RNAcentral's name for it is "partial 16S ribosomal RNA". It matches the Rfam family "Bacterial small subunit ribosomal RNA", at positions 524 to 776 of the family's 1533-position model. The record is from RNAcentral.